GGGAGUUCCAUAUCGAGUAUCAGCCAUGUGCAGCAAUAAAAGAGCAAGUACCGAUAGACUUCAUUGUCAAAUGCAUGAUCCUUAAAGAAAAGUCAAAUAUUAAUGCUUCUAAAUCAGAGAUCAGCACAAGAAAAAAUUGGCGGAUUCGGUACAUGGAUGGAGCUUCAAAUUUUUAAAACAGCGAUAUAAGUCUAAUUGUCACCAACCU
RNAcentral lists this long non-coding RNA (208 nucleotides) under Elaeis guineensis (African oil palm). RNAcentral's name for it is "long non-coding RNA (EGUI_LNC036006)". The record is from RNAcentral. Lineage: Eukaryota; Viridiplantae; Streptophyta; Magnoliopsida; Arecales; Arecaceae.